This 215-nucleotide unclassified non-coding RNA is filed under the name Hevea brasiliensis (rubber tree). The record is from RNAcentral. Lineage: Eukaryota; Viridiplantae; Streptophyta; Magnoliopsida; Malpighiales; Euphorbiaceae.
AAGCUGAAGAAAAAUAUCAAGCCCCUGAUUCCGUGAUGAGUCACUGCUCUUUUGCAGGACACUGAGAUAAAGCAAGAUGACAUCUUCAUUCUUUAUUACAGGGCUUGCCUUGAGAUCAAACUUCCCAUCAACCAACAUAUCAAGCAGAGCAUCUAAAAGCGCCUCACUUGGUUGCCAUUGGCAGAAGUCCAACAGCAAGCUACGCAAAGUCUGAU